RNAcentral lists this ribosomal RNA (381 nucleotides) under uncultured Prevotella sp. Its description in RNAcentral is "bacterial SSU rRNA". It matches the Rfam family "Bacterial small subunit ribosomal RNA", at positions 355 to 733 of the family's 1533-position model. The record is from RNAcentral. Lineage: Bacteria; Pseudomonadati; Bacteroidota; Bacteroidia; Bacteroidales; Prevotellaceae.
UGAGGAAUAUUGGUCAAUGGACGGGAGUCUGAACCAGCCAAGUAGCGUGCAGGAUGACGGCCUUAUGGGUUGUAAACUGCUUUUGUGCGGGGAUAAAGUGUGGGACGCGUCCCAUAUUGCAGGUACCGCAUGAAUAAGGACCGGCUAAUUCCGUGCCAGCAGCCGCGGUAAUACGGAAGGUCCGGGCGUUAUCCGGAUUUAUUGGGUUUAAAGGGAGCGUAGGCCGGAGAUUAAGCGUGUUGUGAAAUGCCGCGGCUCAACCGUGGCACUGCAGCGCGAACUGGUUUUCUUGAGUACGCACAACGUGGGCGGAAUUCGUGGUGUAGCGGUGAAAUGCUUAGAUAUCACGAAGAACUCCGAUUGCGAAGGCAGCUCACGGGA